AGCAGCCGCGGUAAUUCCAGCUCCAAUAGCGUAUAUUAAAGUUGUUGCAGUUAAAAAGCUCGUAGUUGAAUUUCGAGAUCAAUAUGUUGGUCGUGCCUUUGGUACGUACUGGUAUUAUUGGUUUCUCCUUUCUGAUGAAUCACGACGUCAUUAAUUUGGUGUCAUGGGGAAUCAGGACUGUUACUUUGAAAAAAUUAGAGUGUUUAAAGCAGGCUUACGCUUGAAUACAUUAGCAUGGAAUAAUGAAAUAGGACGUUUAAUUCUAUUUUGUUGGUUUCUAGGAUUGACGUAAUGAUUAAUAGGGAUAGUUGGGGGCAUUAGUAUUCAAUUGUCAGAGGUGAAAUUCUUGGAUUUAUUGAAGACUAACUACUGCGAAAGCAUUUGCCAAGGAUGUUUUCAUUAAUCAAGAACGAAAGUUAGGGGAUCGAAGACGAUCAGAUACCGUCGUAGUCUUAACCAUAAACUAUGCCGACUAGGGAUCGGAUGAUGUUAAUUUAUGACUCAUUCGGCGUCCG
Molecule: ribosomal RNA, 515 nt
Filed under: uncultured Glomus
Lineage: Eukaryota; Fungi; Glomeromycota; Glomeromycetes; Glomerales; Glomeraceae
Description: SSU rRNA
Rfam family: Eukaryotic small subunit ribosomal RNA
Source: RNAcentral